CAGCAGGUAGGAUUCGGUGCUUUCAGUCUUAUUUCUAGGGGUGUGUUACUUCGUGGGCAGUGCAGAAUCCAGGCUCAGCUAUAUCUGUGAGCCGUGGCUCCCUGCAGCACGGCUGGGGCUGUGCCACGAGCUGUGAUCCUGGUGAUGCAUACACAGGAGCAGCUCUUGGUGGUGUUUAACUGCAGCUCUCGGAGCUGCCCAUCAGCUUCUCCCCCGUCCUGCUGCAAACCCUUUCUCCAUGCAGCUCGGGACCAGCCUGUUCCGCGAGGAGCCCCUGCCCUACCUGGUGUACCAGCCCCUGCCCUGGCAGAUCCAGUGCGUGACGCAGAGCCGCCGCACCAGCCGGGACAGCGAGAAAGGCAGGAGCUCUCGUCAGAACAGCAUCUACUCGAUUUCUGGAGAGAAAGGCAACGUCACCCCUGACGCCAGCAGCGAGGGCAGGUUCUUCAGCGACCCUUCCGAGAAGGCGGCCGUCACCAUCCAGACCCACUUCAGGAGGUACCAGCAGCAGAAGCAGGAGAAGAAGUAGCUGCCUUGCCCACGCCCUGCACCAUCCCUCCUCUUGUCUGUUGUGUUCCCCAGCCAGAUUUGUGCCCGUGAACCCGCUAGGUAGCUCUUGGUGCACGCACAGCUGUAGGUGCUCCGCUGUUGGCUGCGGGUCGGUGGGGUCCUGGUGGCUCCUUCCUUCCCCAAAUAGCACUGCCCCGUGGCCAGGGACCACCAGCAAGGGGCUGUUGGCUGGGACCUCAGCACCCAGCAGCUCUGGCACUUGUCCUUUUCCUGGUGGCAGCACCCCCAGCUGCGUGGUGGCAGGCCCUGGGGAUGCCCAGCUGAGAGCUGUUGUGCCCAGCCAGCUGCCCAGCUGGGGCUCGUUGUGCUCACAACAGCUCCACUUUGCAGCUGGAGCUGGGGUUGGAACAUCAGCUUUCUUCCCUGACCCAACAUGGUGCCUACGAGCUGGCUGGGAAUGGGGUGCCACCAGGUAAGGGGAGCAGGAGGUGUGCCAUGUGCUGGGUGUGAGCUGAUUUUUGCUUUUCUCGGGCAGCACUGGGUGUCCUGGCUUUGGAAUGAGAGGGAGACUGGUUUUUUAGCAGCUAUUUUUGAGUACUGGCUUUCCUAGUGUGCAGAGCUCUCGAGAAAGAGGGGAAAAUAAAAACAGAUAGGAGGCCA
This 1170-nucleotide long non-coding RNA is filed under the name Anas platyrhynchos platyrhynchos (common mallard). RNAcentral's name for it is "lncRNA (ENSAPLG00000017341.1)". The record is from RNAcentral. Lineage: Eukaryota; Metazoa; Chordata; Aves; Anseriformes; Anatidae.